Molecule: ribosomal RNA, 478 nt
Filed under: uncultured bacterium
Lineage: Bacteria
Description: partial 16S ribosomal RNA
Rfam family: Bacterial small subunit ribosomal RNA
Source: RNAcentral
GACGAACGCUGGCGGCGUGCUUAACACAUGCAAGUCGAACGGUAAGGCCCUUCGGGGUACACGAGUGGCGAACGGGUGAGUAACACGUGGGUGAUCUGCCCUGCACUUCGGGAUAAGCCUGGGAAACUGGGUCUAAUACCGGAUAGGACUCCGGACUGCAUGGUCUGGGGUGGAAAGCUUUUGCGGUGUGGGAUGGGCCCGCGGCCUAUCAGCUUGUUGGUGGGGUGAUGGCCUACCAAGGCGACGACGGGUAGCCGGCCUGAGAGGGUGACCGGCCACACUGGGACUGUGAUACGGCCCAGACACCGACGGGAGGCAGCAGUGGGGAAUAUUGCACAAUGGGCGCAAGCCUGAUGCAGCGACGCCGCGUGAGGGAUGACGGCCUUCGGGUUGUAAACCUCUUUCAGCAUCGACGAAGCGAAAGUGACGGUAGGUGCAGAAGAAGGACCGGCCAACUACGUGCCAGCCGCCGCUGUAA